RNAcentral lists this ribosomal RNA (253 nucleotides) under uncultured bacterium. RNAcentral's name for it is "partial 16S ribosomal RNA". It matches the Rfam family "Bacterial small subunit ribosomal RNA", at positions 524 to 776 of the family's 1533-position model. The record is from RNAcentral.
UACAGAGGGGGCAAGCGUUAUUCGGAAUUAUUGGGCGUAAAGGGCGCGUAGGCGGCUUGGCAAGUGGAAGGUGAAAUCCCUCGGCUUAACCGAGGAACUGCCCUCCAAACUGCUUGGCUUGAGACCGGGAGAGGUGAGUGGAAUUCCACGUGUAGCGGUGAAAUGCGUAGAGAUGUGGAGGAACACCAGUGGCGAAGGCGGCUUUCUGGUCUGUAACUGACGCUGAGGCGCGAAAGCGUGGGGAGCAAACAGG